This 616-nucleotide ribosomal RNA is filed under the name Streptomyces sp. RNAcentral describes it as "bacterial SSU rRNA". It matches the Rfam family "Bacterial small subunit ribosomal RNA", at positions 258 to 886 of the family's 1533-position model. Lineage: Bacteria; Bacillati; Actinomycetota; Actinomycetes; Kitasatosporales; Streptomycetaceae. The record is from RNAcentral.
UAAGGGACUCAUGCGACGACGGGUAGCCGGCCUGAGAGGGCGACCGGCCACACUGGGACUGAGACACGGCCCAGACUCCUACGGGAGGCAGCAGUGGGGAAUAUUGCACAAUGGGCGAAAGCCUGAUGCAGCGACGCCGCGUGAGGGAUGACGGCCUUCGGGUUGUAAACCUCUUUCAGCAGGGAAGAAGCGAAAGUGACGGUACCUGCAGAAGAAGCGCCGGCUAACUACGUGCCAGCAGCCGCGGUAAUACGUAGGGCGCAAGCGUUGUCCGGAAUUAUUGGGCGUAAAGAGCUCGUAGGCGGCUUGUCACGUCGGAUGUGAAAGCCCGGGGCUUAACCCCGGGUCUGCAUUCGAUACGGGCUAGCUAGAGUGUGGUAGGGGAGAUCGGAAUUCCUGGUGUAGCGGUGAAAUGCGCAGAUAUCAGGAGGAACACCGGUGGCGAAGGCGGAUCUCUGGGCCAUUACUGACGCUGAGGAGCGAAAGCGUGGGGAGCGAACAGGAUUAGAUACCCUGGUAGUCCACGCCGUAAACGUUGGGAACUAGGUGUUGGCGACAUUCCACGUCGUCGGUGCCGCAGCUAACGCAUUAAGUUCCCCGCCUGGGGGAGUACGGA